Molecule: ribosomal RNA, 1918 nt
Filed under: Verrucomicrobiaceae bacterium
Lineage: Bacteria; Pseudomonadati; Verrucomicrobiota; Verrucomicrobiia; Verrucomicrobiales; Verrucomicrobiaceae
Description: partial 23S ribosomal RNA
Rfam family: Bacterial large subunit ribosomal RNA
Source: RNAcentral
UUGUAGUCAAGCGACUGAAGGCCAGUGGGGGAUGCCUGGGCACACGGAGGCGAUGAAGGGCGCGGUAAGCUGCGAUAAGCCGGGGGGAGCCGCACACAGGCUGUGAGCCCCGGAUGCCCGAAUGGGGAAACCCGGCCGGUGGGAACACCGGUCACUCCUAUAUGGAGAGCGAACCCGGGGAACUGAAACAUCUCAGUACCUGGAGGAAGAGAAAUCAACCGAGAUGCCCCCAGUAGCGGCGAGCGAACGGGGCGGAGCCCAAACCGUGGUCCUUGUGGCCACGGGGUUGUAGGACCCACGGACGGGACACGAGACGGCAGCUGAAGUCCGCUGGAAAGCGGCGCCAGAGACGGUGACAGCCCGGUACGCUAAGCCAAGGUACGUGUUCUAGUGGUGUUCCUGAGUAGCGCCAUGCUUUCGAGGAACGUGGCGUGAAGCUGGGGGGACCACCCUCCAAGGCUAAAGACUCCCGUGUGACCGAUAGUGGACGAGUACCGUGAGGGACAGGUGAAAAGCACCCCAGUGCGGGGAGUGAAAUAGAUCCUGAAACCACUGGCCUACAAGCGGUAGGAGGACGGCGCAUCGCAAGGUGUGCGCGUCUGACUGCGUGCCUUUUGCAUUAUGAUCCGGCGAGUUACGCCUCAGCAGCGAGGCUAAGGACCUCAGGUCCGGAGCCGUAGCGAAAGCGAGUCCUGUCACGAGGGCGAGUGGAGUUGCUGGGGGUAAACCCGAAGCCAGGGCGAUCUACCCAUGAGCAGGGUGAAGCUGGGGUAACACCCAGUGGAGGCCCGCACCGGUAUGGGUUGAAAACCGUUCGGAUGACUUGUGGGUAGGGGUGAAAGGCCAAUCAAGCCUGGAGAUAGCUGGUUCUCCCCGAAAUCUAUUGAGGUAGAGCCUCGAGGCUGGCCCUAGUGGCCGUAUGUCGGCAGGGGGUAGAGCGACUGGAUGGGCGCGGGGGAGCGUGGCUCCUACCAACCCCAACCAAACUCCGAAUACCUGACCGAUGGACCUCGGGAGGCAGUCGCUGAGCGAUAAUGUCCAGCGGCGAGAGGGAAAGAACCCAGAGCCACAGCUAAGGCCCCGAAGUGGCCGCUGAGUAUAGCGAAGGAUGUGUUCCUACUUUGACAACUGGGAGGUUGGCUUAGAAGCAGCCACUCCUUUAAAGAGUGCGUAAUAGCUCACCAGUCCAGUGGGGAUGCGCCGAGAAUGGUCGGGAUUAAGCGGCCCGCCGAAGCUUGGCCUUCGACGUUUGACGUCGAGGGGUAGGGGAGCGUUCCGGGAACGAUGAAGCGGCCGUGGAAACGUUGCCGUGGAGUGACCGGAAGUGAGGAUGCCGGACUGAGUACGCGCAAAUGCGGGUGAGAACCCCGCACACCGUAAGCCUAAGGUUUCCUGCGCCAUGGCAAUCAGCGCAGGGUGAGGCGGACCCUAAGGCGAGGCCCCAGAGGCGUAGCCGAUGGACAACGGGUGAACAUUCCCGUCCCGUCUCCGAUCGUUGAAGCCGUGAGGGACACCGGAACGAAGCGUGAGCGGUCUUGUGGAUGGCCGUGUAAAGCCGUAGGCGCAAGCCGAGAGCCCAUGCCGAGCUGAGGAUUCGUCCUCGGCGAGUCACGUAGAGUCGACGGGCGAGAAAAGCUCACGGGGGAGAUCGCGAGACGUCCGUACCGCAAACCGACACAGGUAGGCGAGGCGAGUAGCCUCAGGUGAACGAGUGAGACGUGGUCAAGGAACUCGGCAUAAUGAUCCCGUAACUUCGGAAGAAGGGAUGCCCUUUGGGGUGACGGCCUCGCGCCGACAGCCUUGAGGGGCCGCAGUGAAUCGGCUCAAGCGACUGUUUAGCAAAAACACAGGUGCAUGCCAAGCCGCACAAGGCGCCGUAUAUGCACUGACGCCUGACCGGUGCCGGAAGGUUAAGGGG